This 253-nucleotide ribosomal RNA is filed under the name uncultured bacterium. RNAcentral describes it as "partial 16S ribosomal RNA". It matches the Rfam family "Bacterial small subunit ribosomal RNA", at positions 524 to 776 of the family's 1533-position model. The record is from RNAcentral.
UACGAAGGGGGCUAGCGUUGCUCGGAAUCACUGGGCGUAAAGGGUGCGUAGGCGGGUCUUUAAGUCAGGGGUGAAAUCCUGGAGCUCAACUCCAGAACUGCCUUUGAUACUGAAGAUCUUGAGUUCGGGAGAGGUGAGUGGAACUGCGAGUGUAGAGGUGAAAUUCGCAGAUAUCAGGAAGAACACCCGUGGCGAAGGCGGCUCUCUGGAACGCAACUGACGCUGAGACGCGAAAGCGUGGGGAGCAAACAGG